Molecule: ribosomal RNA, 502 nt
Filed under: uncultured bacterium
Lineage: Bacteria
Description: partial 16S ribosomal RNA
Rfam family: Bacterial small subunit ribosomal RNA
Source: RNAcentral
AUUGAACGCUGGCGGAACGCUUUACACAUGCAAGUCGAACGGCAGCACGGGUGCUUGCACCUGGUGGCGAGUGGCGAACGGGUGAGUAAUACAUCGGAACGUACCCAGUUGUGGGGGAUAACUAACCGAAAGGUUAGCUAAUACCGCAUACGACCUGAGGGUGAAAGCGGGGGACCGUAAGGCCUCGCGCAAUUGGAGCGGCCGAUGUCUGAUUAGCUAGUUGGUAGGGUAAAGGCCUACCAAGGCGACGAUCAGUAGCUGGUCUGAGAGGAUGAUCAGCCACACUGGAACUGAGACACGGUCCAGACUCCUACGGGAGGCAGCAGUGGGGAAUUUUGGACGAUGGGCGAAAGCCUGAUCCAGCCAUUCCGCGUGAGUGAAGAAGGCCUUCGGGUUGUAAAGCUCUUUCGGCAGGGAAGAAACGGCCUAGGUUAAUACCUUGGGCUAAUGACGGUACCUGAAGAAGAAGCACCGGCUAACUACGUGCCAGCCGCCGCGGUAA